This 2877-nucleotide ribosomal RNA is filed under the name synthetic metagenome. Its description in RNAcentral is "bacterial LSU rRNA". It matches the Rfam family "Bacterial large subunit ribosomal RNA". The record is from RNAcentral.
AGAAGCGCAUACGGUGGAUGCCUUGGCAGUCAGAGGCGAUGAAAGACGUGGUAGCCUGCGAAAAGCUUCGGGGAGUCGGCAAACAGACUUUGAUCCGGAGAUCUCUGAAUGGGGGAACCCACCUAGGAUAACCUAGGUAUCUUGUACUGAAUCCAUAGGUGCAAGAGGCGAACCAGGGGAACUGAAACAUCUAAGUACCCUGAGGAAAAGAAAUCAACCGAGAUUCCCUUAGUAGUGGCGAGCGAACGGGGAUUAGCCCUUAAGCUUCAUUGAUUUUAGCGGAACGCUCUGGAAAGUGCGGCCAUAGUGGGUGAUAGCCCCGUACGCGAAAGGAUCUUUGAAGUGAAAUCGAGUAGGACGGAGCACGAGAAACUUUGUCUGAACAUGGGGGGACCAUCCUCCAAGGCUAAAUACUACUGACUGACCGAUAGUGAACCAGUACCGUGAGGGAAAGGCGAAAAGAACCCCGGAGAGGGGAGUGAAAUAGAACCUGAAACCGUAUGCGUACAAGCAGUGGGAGCCUACUUGUUAGGUGACUGCGUACCUUUUGUAUAAUGGGUCAGCGACUUAUAUUCAGUGGCAAGCUUAACCGUAUAGGGUAGGCGUAGCGAAAGCGAGUCUUAAUAGGGCGUUUAGUCGCUGGGUAUAGACCCGAAACCGGGCGAUCUAUCCAUGAGCAGGUUGAAGGUUAGGUAACACUGACUGGAGGACCGAACCCACUCCCGUUGAAAAGGUAGGGGAUGACUUGUGGAUCGGAGUGAAAGGCUAAUCAAGCUCGGAGAUAGCUGGUUCUCCUCGAAAGCUAUUUAGGUAGCGCCUCAUGUAUCACUCUGGGGGGUAGAGCACUGUUUCGGCUAGGGGGUCAUCCCGACUUACCAAACCGAUGCAAACUCCGAAUACCUAUGAGUACUAUCCGGGAGACAGACUGCGGGUGCUAACGUCCGUAGUCAAGAGGAAAACAAUCCAGACCGCCAGCUAAGGCCCCAAAAUCAUAGUUAAGUGGGAAACGAUGUGGGAAGGCAUAGACAGCUAGGAGGUUGGCUUAGAAGCAGCCACCCUUUAAAGAAAGCGUAAUAGCUCACUAGUCGAGUCGGCCUGCGCGGAAGAUGUAACGGGGCUCAAACCACACACCGAAGCUGCGGGUGUCACGUAAGUGACGCGGUAGAGGAGCGUUCUGUAAGCCUGUGAAGGUGAGUUGAGAAGCUUGCUGGAGGUAUCAGAAGUGCGAAUGCUGACAUGAGUAACGACAAUGGGUGUGAAAAACACCCACGCCGAAAGACCAAGGGUUCCUGCGCAACGUUAAUCGACGCAGGGUUAGUCGGUUCCUAAGGCGAGGCUGAAAAGCGUAGUCGAUGGGAAACAGGUUAAUAUUCCUGUACUUCUGGUUACUGCGAUGGAGGGACGGAGAAGGCUAGGCCAGCUUGGCGUUGGUUGUCCAAGUUUAAGGUGGUAGGCUGAAAUCUUAGGUAAAUCCGGGGUUUCAAGGCCGAGAGCUGAUGACGAGUCGUCUUUUAGAUGACGAAGUGGUUGAUGCCAUGCUUCCAAGAAAAGCUUCUAAGCUUCAGGUAACCAGGAACCGUACCCCAAACCGACACAGGUGGUCGGGUAGAGAAUACCAAGGCGCUUGAGAGAACUCGGGUGAAGGAACUAGGCAAAAUGGCACCGUAACUUCGGGAGAAGGUGCGCCGGCUAGGGUGAAGGAUUUACUCCGUAAGCUCUGGCUGGUCGAAGAUACCAGGCCGCUGCGACUGUUUAUUAAAAACACAGCACUCUGCAAACACGAAAGUGGACGUAUAGGGUGUGACGCCUGCCCGGUGCCGGAAGGUUAAUUGAUGGGGUUAGCGCAAGCGAAGCUCUUGAUCGAAGCCCCGGUAAACGGCGGCCGUAACUAUAACGGUCCUAAGGUAGCGAAAUUCCUUGUCGGGUAAGUUCCGACCUGCACGAAUGGCGUAACGAUGGCGGCGCUGUCUCCACCCGAGACUCAGUGAAAUUGAAAUCGCUGUGAAGAUGCAGUGUAUCCGCGGCUAGACGGAAAGACCCCGUGAACCUUUACUGUAGCUUUGCACUGGACUUUGAGCCUGCUUGUGUAGGAUAGGUGGGAGGCUUUGAAGCGUGGACGCCAGUUCGCGUGGAGCCAUCCUUGAAAUACCACCCUGGCAUGCUUGAGGUUCUAACUCUGGUCCGUAAUCCGGAUCGAGGACAGUGUAUGGUGGGCAGUUUGACUGGGGCGGUCUCCUCCUAAAGAGUAACGGAGGAGUACGAAGGUGCGCUCAGCGUGGUCGGAAAUCACGCGUAGAGUAUAAAGGCAAAAGCGCGCUUAACUGCGAGACCCACAAGUCGAGCAGGUACGAAAGUAGGUCUUAGUGAUCCGGUGGUUCUGUAUGGAAGGGCCAUCGCUCAACGGAUAAAAGGUACUCCGGGGAUAACAGGCUGAUACCGCCCAAGAGUUCAUAUCGACGGCGGUGUUUGGCACCUCGAUGUCGGCUCAUCACAUCCUGGGGCUGAAGCCGGUCCCAAGGGUAUGGCUGUUCGCCAUUUAAAGUGGUACGCGAGCUGGGUUUAGAACGUCGUGAGACAGUUCGGUCCCUAUCUGCCGUGGACGUUUGAGAUUUGAGAGGGGCUGCUCCUAGUACGAGAGGACCGGAGUGGACGAACCUCUGGUGUUCCGGUUGUCACGCCAGUGGCAUUGCCGGGUAGCUAUGUUCGGAAAAGAUAACCGCUGAAAGCAUCUAAGCGGGAAACUUGCCUCAAGAUGAGAUCUCACUGGGAACUUGAUUCCCCUGAAGGGCCGUCGAAGACUACGACGUUGAUAGGCUGGGUGUGUAAGCGUUGUGAGGCGUUGAGCUAACCAGUACUAAUUGCCCGUGAGGCUUGACC